AGGCAGUUAGCUCAGUGGAAGAGCAUCUGUCUUACAAACAGAUGGUCACUGGUUCAAAUCCGGUACUGCCUA
Molecule: transfer RNA, 72 nt
Filed under: Cyanidium caldarium
Lineage: Eukaryota; Rhodophyta; Bangiophyceae; Cyanidiales; Cyanidiaceae
Description: tRNA-Val
Rfam family: tRNA
About the family: Transfer RNA (tRNA) molecules are approximately 80 nucleotides in length. Their secondary structure includes four short double-helical elements and three loops (D, anti-codon, and T loops).
Source: RNAcentral